UACCUGGUUGAUCCUGCCAGGUAUGAUAGGCUUGUCUCAAGGACUAAGCCAUGCAUGCCUAAGUUCAUACCUAUACAAGGUGAAACUGCGAAUCGCUCAGUAAAUCAGUUAUUGUUUCUUUGAUCGUACCGAGAUGUGUGCUAGUGUGUUCCACUGGCCUCAUCACACAUUGGAUAACUCUGGGAAACUAGAGCUAAUACAUGUCAACUGCUAUCACGGGGUAGCGUGCAUUUGUUCGCCCAUUCCAAAACCAACACUGACUGAUCUAAACACACAGAGGGGUGUAAAAACCCCUGGCAACGCUGGCUGGGAUCUGCCAGGGGCGUGCAAGCGUCUCUGGUACGGUUGCUUUCAGCCUGUGUGCGCACGGGUUAGCCAUGUUCACGGUGAUUCUGAAUAACUGAUGCUGAUCGUACAGGGCCAUUGUGCCCACGAUAUUUCAAUCAAAUUCCUGCCCUAUCAUAUUUGUUGGUAGGGUAGCGGCCUACCAAGGUGACGACGGGUAACGGGGAAUCAGGGUUCGAUUCCGGAGAGGGAGCCUGAGAAACAGCUACCACGUCCAAGGAUGGCAGCAGGCGCGCAAACUAUCCAAUCCAGAUUCUGGGAGAUGGUGACGAGACAUAUUGGGACUCACCAGCAUCGCUGGUCGAGUUACCAGAUAGACUACAACCUAAAACAGUGCUAAAAUAAUCAACAGGAGGGCAAGUCUGGUGCCAGCAGCCGCGGUAAUACCAGCUCCUGUGGCCUAUAUGGUCGUUGUUGCGGUUAAAAAGCUCGUAGUCGAAAUACGGUGCGCUCGAAAGCUGCAUCAGUGGUAAGCCUGCCCAGGCUGUGUGGCAUACAUGUCCAUUUGUGCAGCACUGUCUCUCUGUCCACUGUGGGUGCGUGUGUGAUGAUGGUUACGUGCAGGUGUCAAAGCCCGCACGCAUCCCUCUCUUUGCACACUCUCGGUCUAUGUGGUUGAUGGCGUGCACCCACAGAUCAUGGCUGAGAGCUUGUUGUAGUAAUAUAUGGCCAGUCACACUGGCCUGUGUGAUGCAGUUACGCACUGUGGUAGUGUGCCGCUGUCUGUCUUCUUUCGUGUGCCCUCCAYUACAUGCACACUCGUGUGUGUGUGGUGGGGAGUGUGUGGGUGAUGGCCGGCAGUGGCCUGCCAUGGUGUUUUACCAUUGAGACAGCAUUAGAGUGCGCUUUCUCGUCCAGCUUCAGUGCGUGUUUGGCUGCGGGUGAGCGCGCUGUUAUGGCCUCGCGUCAUGUACAGGCGUAUCUAAAUCACUGCGCCUCAUUACUUUCAUAUCCUUCACUGGAUACACUGAACGCUGAGCGAAUUGUGCCUUGAGUAAAAUAGAGUGCUCAAAGCAGGCUAGGCAUGUAACAGUGUCAUUGCCCGUAUACUCCAGCAUGGAACGAAUGUCCAAUUGCUUGAACCACCCUGCGGCCUGGUUUGUUGGUUGAAAGCGUGAGUGUGUGCGGUAAGACGUACAUGCUUGCGCUUCGGUGCAUAUGUGUGGUGUGUGUGAUUAUGUGUCCGACUCUGUGUGUGUGAACUCCAGGCCGUAUCCGCAAAUGUGUGUACCCGAGAUAUUAUUGUAUAAAUGUAUGUAGGCAGGACCAGUGUGUGUAUAAUUGUAUAGCGUCAUGUUCUCGCCCUCAUGUGUGAGGGUGCACAUGGCGUGUCGUGUGGUAUGAAAUAUAAUGUGAUCGUGCGUGCUACGGCCCUGCCUUUACUUGCGUGUUCGCACACACGGUUAUGUGCAGUGUGUGUCGCGUGAGAGUGAGCCCCAUAUUAUUAUAUGGAUCACUGGCAUGAGGACGUACACGCGUUAUGCGAGCGCUUACCCUCGACUCACUCUGUGUAUUUGUAUGUGUGCAUGUGCCUGCAGCGUAUAGCUGGCAUGGUGCGUGCACCGGCACCUGCCCCGGGAACAAUACCACUUGUGCGUAUGGGUAUCGGUUAACAGAGACAUUUGGGGGCAUUGGUAUUUGGCCGCGAGAGGUGAAAUUCUGAGACCGGUCAAAGACUGACGAUUGCGAAAGCAUCUGCCAAAGGUGUCUUCAUUGACCAAGAACGACAGUUAGGGGAUCGAAGAUGAUCAGAUACCGUCGUAGCCUAACUGUAAACUAUGCCAACCAGGGCUCAGGCCGGAUCGUGUAUAUUGAAAUAGAAUUUCAUAUAACUUUGAUCCAGGUUGGGCCCCCCGGGAAACCUAAAGUGUGUGGGUUCCGGGGGGAGUAUGGUUGCAAGGCUGAAACUUUAAGGAAUUGACGGAGAGGGCACCACCAGGAGUGGAGCCUGCGGCCUAAUUUGACUCAACACGGGGAAUCUCACCAGGUCCGGACAUCGGAAGGAUUGACAGACUGAUAGAUCUUUCAUGAUUCGGUGAAUGGUGGUGCAUGGCCGUUCUUGGUUGGUGGAGUGAAUUUGUCUGGUAUAUUCCGUGAACGAGCGCAACCACAGCCUCUUAAUUUGGCUGUACGAAAGGCUACUGCCCUGCGUGUGGUGGUGUUAACGCACACUGUGCGUAGGGUGUGUAUGUGAUUUUCCCCCCAGUCGUGGUGGUACGAUAAGUCUCCAUCGUGUGUGUGGCGCAUGGGUGUGGGUCUCUGUGAGACGUGUGUGUGUUGUUGGUGGAUAUCUAACGCUGCCGUGCUGCGUCAGCAUGUAUGCUGGCAAUGGACUAGAUGGCAAUCGUGAUGACUUGCCAGACUGUCCUGUUGUACUGUGUUGGUGAGUGUGUGCGGUAGCGGUUCAUUGAUGAUGUGCACAUGUUCUUGCAGUAGGGCGUGCAUCUGUGUGCCUUGUGUGUGGUGGAGAUGUGUCAGAUAUAUGUCGAUUGGUGGGUGUUCGUGCGCCUUCAUAGAGGGACUACCGGUGGCAAAUCGGUGGAAGUGUGGCAAUAGCAGGUCAGUGAUGCCCUUCGAUGUUCUGGGCUGCACGCGUGCUACAAUGGUUACGACAAUGAGUGUGUCUGCGUCGAAAGAUGUGGGUAAUCUUCUCAAUCGUAGCCUUGCUGGGGAUUGAGCCUUGAAAUUAUUGCUCAUGAACCUGGAAUUCCUCGUAAGUACGAGUCACCAGCUCGUGCUGAAUACGUCUCUGCCCUUUGUACACACCGCCCGUCGCUACUACCGAUUGAAUGAUUCGGUGAGGGCAUGGGAUUGAUCGGUUUCGUUUA
RNAcentral lists this ribosomal RNA (3173 nucleotides) under Sphaerospora squalii. Its description in RNAcentral is "partial 18S ribosomal RNA". The stretch from base 1 to 2458 matches the Rfam family "Eukaryotic small subunit ribosomal RNA". Lineage: Eukaryota; Metazoa; Cnidaria; Myxozoa; Bivalvulida; Sphaerosporidae. The record is from RNAcentral.